GACGAACGCUGGCGGCGUGCCUAAUACAUGCAAGUCGAACGCUUUUUCUUUCACCGGAGCUUGCUCCACCGAAAGAAAAAGAGUGGCGAACGGGUGAGUAACACGUGGGUAACCUGCACAUCAGAAGGGGAUAACACUUGGAAACAGGUGCUAAUACCGUAUAACACUAUUUUCCGCAUGGAAGAAAGUUGAAAGGCGCUUUCGCGUCACUGAUGGAUGGACUCGCGGUGCAUUAGCUAGUUGGUGAGGUAACGGCUCACCAAGGCAACGAUGCAUAGCCGACCUGAGAGGGUGAUCGGCCACACUGGGACUGAGACACGGCCCAGACUCCUACGGGAGGCAGCAGUAGGGAAUCUUCGGCAAUGGACGAAAGUCUGACCGAGCAACGCCGCGUGAGUGAAGAAGGUUUUCGGAUCGUAAAACUCUGUUGUUAGAGAAGAACAAGGAUGAGAGUAAAACGUUCAUCCCUUGACGGUAUCUAACCAGAAAGCCACGGCUAACUACGUGCCAGCCGCCGCAGUAA
Molecule: ribosomal RNA, 523 nt
Filed under: uncultured bacterium
Lineage: Bacteria
Description: partial 16S ribosomal RNA
Rfam family: Bacterial small subunit ribosomal RNA
Source: RNAcentral